This 8827-nucleotide long non-coding RNA is filed under the name Aquilegia coerulea. RNAcentral's name for it is "long non-coding RNA (ACOE_LNC001998)". The record is from RNAcentral. Lineage: Eukaryota; Viridiplantae; Streptophyta; Magnoliopsida; Ranunculales; Ranunculaceae.
GAAGGGUUAUCAUUAGACCCUAUUCGACAUUAUUUUGCAGCUUAAAUUAUAUUUCCCUAAUAAUGUUUCAUCAACACUAUAUUAAUAUACGUUUUACUUUCUUAAAUGAAAUGUAAAUUUUCAUUUAGAAAUGUAUAAUUGUAAGUGCUGAAUUAUAAUUAAUUUCCUGUGUUCAUAAUAGUUUUUUGUAUUCAUCAUCAGUUUGUAUCUAAGGUGAGUUCUCUGCUGCUGUGAUUUCGUCAUUACUAUCCUUCAAGGUCAGUUUAUAUAUUUUCCUUUUUAUUCAAUGAUUGAUAAUAAGAUCAAAAUGCAACAUUUGCUUUAUGGAUCGUUUUACUGUUGUAGUUUCCUGUGCUUCGGGGUCCGUGUCGUUUGAAAGUUUGGGUGUCGGGUUGAUAUUGCUGCGCUUAAGGUAUGCCAAUUUUGCCCUCUCCUUCACUUCAUAAUGGAUUUUGACAUUAUAUGAGAAUGCAUAUAAUGUUCGUGACCAUGUUAGGAAACCUUCAUCUUUUAGCAUUCCGUGCACCAUGAGUGACUUUUUUUUUUUUGUUAUACAGUAUGAUGAUUUUGUUUAGUAUGUAGAUUGUGAGGCAAUUUUCUAUUUUGUAGGAAGCAUAGAAAUAGAAAUAGACGUCCUGCUGUUAUUGAUUGGACUUGAUUGAUCUAAAAAUGAGAUCCAUUUUUCACAGUAGUAAUCUAUUAUAUAUUUAAUUUGCCUGAAGGAGAAAGAGAUAAAUAUACAGUAAUUAGGUAAUAGAUAUGUCCAUUUUAUAGCGGUAUAAUGUUGGGAACAUACACUGUAUAAUGUUACGGUACAUACACUGUUACAUUCAUAUUCUGCAUUCUGCAAUGCAUUUGCAUGAACAUACACUGUACAACUAGAUUACUUUUCUGAGGGGGAUACUUGAUAGCAUUUUUUUUUUGAGAAUGCUGCAUUUAUGUUCUUUUUCAUAUUUCAAAAUUUGAACUGAUAUUCACACGACAAUGGGUAUGCCCAGAGCAGACAAAUUUUAGAUUAGUCUUCUUCUCCCAUUUAAAUAGCAUGUUGUCGAAAAGGGCUAUUGGUGUCUUCAAUUUGUGUUUUUGUUUAACUGAUUUAUGUAUUUUUUUUUUGGUAUGUUUCUCGUUAUGCGCAACGGUGGUUUGAACUAUGUGGUGGGGAUAAUUUCUGUAACUGUUUGUUAUUGUGACAUGUACAAGUAUUUCAUUCUUUUGUUCGUUUGAUCUAUUCGAUGAAACCGGCACUAAGUUUAUUUGACAUCAAUUUUGUGACAUUGGAUGUCCAUGGUUAUCUCGCCUUGAAAUCAUUGUUAGGAAAGCCAAAGAUGUACGCACAUUCGUCUCGUGUCCGUGUCUCUAUGUCGUUUAUCUUAGUCUGUUUUGGGUACUGGACGUACGUACCUAGUUAGGACGUUCGUACGUCCAUUGAGGCAGCAAGCUUCCUUUUGGUCAGGACGUACGUACGCUGUUAGGACGUUCGUACGUCCAAGCAGACAGCAAACAUGUUUUCGUCAGGACGUACGUACCUCUUUAGGGCGUUCGUACGUCCAAGCAGGCAGCGAACGUUCACAAUGUGGAUUUCAUCAAUUCCGGCCCAUUUUGUGUGUGUUCCAACCCUAAGUAUAAAUAGGGUUUCUCUUCCAAAGAACAAGUUAGUUCUUUGGCCGUCCAAUUCAUCUUGUUUUUGGAGUUUGUUUAGGUUGUUUUGGUGAUUGAACUCAUCUUCUUCUUCCCCAUUCAUCUUCUUCUUCUUUCUUCCCUAUUCAUCUUCUUCUUCAUUAUUGAAUAGUGAUUUAGCUUCGAGUCUUCUUGUGUGUUCAUCAAGAAGUCGAGUAUCCUUGUGUGUUCAUCAAGGAACUCUGGUGUAAGCUUGCUUCAUAGAUCGGCUUCGAGUCUUCUUCUGUGUUCAUCAAGAAGUCGAGUGUCUUGUGCGUACAUCAAGGUGCUCCGGUGAAGUCAAGGUGUUAGAGAUAACCAGGAGUGUCAACUCGCAGUGAUUGCAGGUAGUUGAUAGGUUUGUAAAUCUCUUCUCAUCUAGUGGAUUUAUUUGUUGUCGUGAGGACAACCGUGGACGUUUCCCAAUUUGGGUUUUACCAAGUUAAAAAUUUCUGCGUGUUAUUUACUUUCUGCAUAUUGUUUAAGUGGUUUGAAUAUUGAACUGUUAGAUUAGCACUAUUUGUGUUGUUUCAAUUGGUAUCAGUCGCUGGGGGCUGGUUAAGGAGCGUCAAGGCUCACGCUAACGAUCCUAUGAGUGCAAUAAUGGUUCAUGAGUCUGGUUAUAAUAAUUUUAUUGCUAAAUCGUCUAAAUCUACAAAACCAAAAUCUGAUUUUGAAAAGGAUGAUAAUUUGUAUGUUGUUAGCAAUAGUGAUUGGGCUCUUCUUUACAGACUUUCUGCAAAAGAAUGUGAAAGAUUACAAAAAGCUAAUAUUGAUUUGCAGGAAAAAUUUUAAAAAGCUAAUUGUAAUGUGUCUACUAUUUCUGAUAAUGUUUGUUUUGAAGAUAAUGGUGUUUUGCAGACUAAGGUUGAUUCUCUAGAACAACGACUCAGACAUUGUGCAGAAGACUAUAUGCUUCAAGGGGAAGUUUAUGAAUCCAAAAUUAAAAAUUUGGAAAAGGCUAAUCUUUCUUUGCAGGAUAAAAUUGAGAUUCUUGAAAAACAAAUUUCUUGUGCUGCAGAUGAUGCAAUUUCUAUUUCUCAAUUAUUUGACAAAGAAAAACUUGACUUGUUAUGUAGAAUUGCAGCUUUAGAGAAGGCCAAUCAGGAGGUCGAUGAGAAAUACAAAUCUCUAUUGGUGGAGUAUGAGGUAACAAAGAACGAUUUAACGUCUACUCAACUCCAAUUGCAGGUUUUGGACAAAACUAGAUUUGAUUCUCCUAUUGCUAGUUCUACUAGUUCAUCUAGUGUGAUUACUCCUGUAAAAUCUAGUUUGCCUGCCCUUUUGCCUACCCCACCUAUUGAGACUAGACUUAAUACUAAUACUUUUCAGCAUGUUUCUGGCAAAAAGUUUAAGUCUAAGGCUAAUGGUACUGGUGUUUUUGCUGGUAAGACAUCUUGUUCUCAUAGUGGAGGUACAGGUCUUGUCAAGGCACCAUGUCACAAAUACAAUGGUGACAUACAUGUUUCAUCUUCUACUACCACAUCUUCUUAUAAGAAUUCUUUGAGUAAGUCUAAUGUUUUUCAUUGUUCUUAUUGUGGUAGAGUUGGUCAUUUGGAUAGCUUUUGUUGGGAUUUUAAUCAACAUGUUAAAUGUUAUUCUCAUGUUCAUUCUAAUUAUAAUCUUGUUGAUUCUUAUGUUCAUUCUUGUGCGUUUUCUAGACCUUGGAAUUCUAAUGUCUAUUGUCAUAGGUUUAAGAAAAACAGGUACUCCAACAAAAGGAAGUCAAAGACUAAGGUGGAAUUAGUUAAGGACAAGUCUAUUGCAAAGCUUGUUAAGGGGAGAUCUCAUAUCUUUUCAACUCCCAAGGUGUGCACGCCUAGUGUUAAACAAGUAUGGGUAAGAAAAGAUAAGUUGAAGGUUUUUCUGGACUUGCAAAGGUCUGGUGGUGUCCCAUAUUUGGGAUGAUGUAGGUUGUUUCUAGCCUUGUGUUAUUUGAAUUGCAUAUUUCUCUAACCACAUAGGCUAUUUGUUUGGUGUUUCUACUUUUUAUGCUUUGUUUGUUUAGCUUGCAGAUCAUGUUAUAUCUCUGAAUACAUAGUUGGUUAUUCCUUCUAUUUUUCUUUAUUUAUUCCAUGUAUGUGUUGUUGGUUACAUCUUUUCUGAGAUAUUGGUUUAAUUCAAUUGUCUUAAAUAAGUUGCAAUAUGUUUGGGUGUUUUCUCUUUCUGAACUCUUAAGUAUGUUUUGGUAUGUAUCAUGCAUUUUUCCUCGCUUGUUUGCACAGUGCACGGCAUGCUUGCAUAAUGGGAGUCUUUGGAAACCACUUACAUAUUCUUUGAGCUCAUAGACCUUCUCUAUCUCUCGAGUAUUUAUGUGAUCUUGAGCUAUCUCUCCUUUAUUUUGGUUAAUGUUCAUCUUGUUGUUAGUGUUAUUGAACAUUCUUAUCUUCCUAUUACAACUCUUGUUAGUGGUCAAUGACUCACUUUAUCCCCAGCCAUUUGAUUGUCUUUGAUGCAAUAUCAGUUGGCUAAGAACCCGUUGGGGUUGUGAGGGUCAUGCUCUGACGGAUGCACUCAAGAGAUGUUAGUUCUUGUGUUGCACGUUAUCAUGGUAUUGCACUUCUUGAGUUUGUGUUUGUCAAAAAGAUGUAGGCUACACCCUACCCUCGUGUUUUUGAAAAGAUGGAGGCAAAAAUCCCUCCCACGCGGGAAUGACAUUAGAGUGAUGUAGACUAAACUCCACCACAUACGGCAAAAUAAAAAUCCAAGCGCAUGUUCAUUGUUUUUUAUGUAAGGCAUACAAAGUUUAUAUUCCUUUGCCUUUUUAAUGUCUUGGUUUUCAUUUGAAAGAUCAUAUUUAUAUUCGUUUGCCUUCUACUCAUAACGUUUGUUUCAAAGGGGGGUGAAGUUUGUUUCUUCUAUGCUCACUUACUAAUUUAAUCGUAUGUCUCUUGUUGAUGGUUCUAUAUUCUAGGUCUUCAAAGGGUGUGUUCUAGUGGUGAACUUUUUCUCUCUUUAUGCAUUGCAUUGCAUCUACACACACCGAGGUUUAGUUUAUGAUGCACUUCAAUUCUCUUAUUUGUUCAAUCUUUUGCUUAUCACCAUAUAUUGCCUCUUAUUUUUGUACGGAUUGGGAUUGGCUACUGUUUUUGGAAGUUCAUGAUGUAUUCCUCUUCACUUCUAUGGUACAUCGGUUCUUUUCCUUUUAUCUUCUUAUUAUGGUUUGUGUUGUUAGUUAUUCGGUUUGUUUUUCUGCUAUUAAAGUUAGUCCUUAAGGUUAGUCUUCACAUGGUUGGAUAUGGGUUGUUAGUUUUGUCGUUAAAAUUGAUUCUUAGAUAUGGUGCAGCCUCUAUUUGCUAUUGUUUGUGUUUGGUUCUUCAUUAUCCUAGUCUAACAAGUUUAGUGCGAUUCUCAUUGCUUGGUUGUUAUCGUGUGCACACUUCAUGAUUCUGCACACCAUGUGUUCGAUAAAAUGUCUACAUGGGUAUUCUCACAUUUCUUGUGCUAGGUUCGCCAUUUCUCUUACAUUUGUUAGUUUGGUUAAUGUUGUGUUUAUGCAGGACAUGCCUCCUAAGCGUGCUCGGACUACUCCCACCAAAGAAACACCCGGUUCCAAGGGUGCUUCGUCAUCGGGCACACGUCUUCCUCGUGCUUAAAGGAGUAGAGGCGCCAUUCCUUUGGAUUCUUGUAGAUGUUCUUGCUGAAAGUGUUUAUGGCUUACUCUAUUUUGGUUCUAUUCCUUGGUAAUUCUUUUCAGUCGGUGUUUCAUUGACAUACUAAGGUCAGAUUGUUAGUAUUAUUUGGUUUUACACUUCAUGCUUUCUAUUUUUUUCAUUGGAUCACAUGUGUUUGAUGUGAUUUCUGAAGGUAAUAGUUCUCAAUUUGUUUUAAGAAGGCUACAAGGUAUGCAUAAGCAUAUUUUGGUGAUGAAAUCAUGUUAUUGGUGUAUUCGGUUGUCAAGAUUUAUAUUGAUUCAUGUUUUCUCAUAGGUUCUCAUCAUACUUUUCUAUGUUGGGCUAAUAUUCUUGAAUUACCUUGUUGGCUAGCUGGUGUUUGAUUAAAUGCUUAUGAGACUUGCCUAUCCUCUUAUUGUUGCUUCUUGUGCCUGGUUGAUCUUAUUUUUUCCUGCAAUAGGUUUGAUUAGAUGUGUUCUUGGUAGUCUUCUGCAAUAAUCCUCAUGCAAUGGUUUUGGGCUACCACUGUUCUACUUUGGGAUGCAUAUGCUCAGUUUGGUCAUCUAUUGUUAGCAAUUCUCUUCUAUUGACUCUCUAAUCUUUCUGACAAUGUAUGGCAUGUCAUCGGAGUCUUAGUGUUCUGGCAGGAAAUUUACUCUGAAGUUGGAUUGUUGCUUUGUGACUUGGUGACAUCGAUAAUCCUUGCUCAUUCUUCAGUUAAAGUUUUUUUUUUGAGCUUGAUGAUUGUCUAUCUUGUUUGGCAUAUGUUGAACUAAUUUUUGGGUUUCACUAGGGGUGGGCUUACAGGUUUAUUCCUUUUAUGUCUCUAUUCCAUUGUGUUUGGGAUAAUAUUUUCUUAUCCUUGUUUAUAAGAUUCUCUAAUUCUUUUUUGUGGUUGGAUGAGUUGUUUCAGGAACAUGUACAGAUUGGAUUUCCCCAUGGAUUCUCAAUGGAUUUUCUUAUACUUUACGUAUCUUUUUCUGCAGUUACUCAUAUUCCUGUAGUUUUGUCAUGGGAUAUUGUUGGAUGUGUCUAAUAUGCAUGGUUUCCCUAUUCUCUUUCAUAUCUCCUACUAACUAUUGUUUAUCUCUUCUUCUUUCUCUUUUCGCAUAUUCUUUUCUUGCACAUUUCUCCCAUGUUUGACUAUUUGGUUCUUGGUCUUUAUUGUACCUUCCCAAUUUCAUCAGGUAUGGUAUUUCUUCCUUUUUGUUUGUUUGCUCUUUUUCUCUAAAUAUCUUGCUACUAUGAAGUCGUUUCUCUGGAAUCUAUCUCAGGUGGUUAUGGUCGGUUGUUUAAAGUGAUAUUCUAGUGAAUCAUUUGUUCCGAUUGUUGGUGUCCUGACUCUUUCUUCUAUGUAUAGGAUUCUCUUGGUUUCUAUCAGGGAUUCAUGUUAUGUUUUCUUUUCUUCCCUCUGUUACCUAUAUAAGUAUUCAGUGUCUUGUGUCUGUGUUGGUACUCUUUCUUCUUCAUUUAUAUGCCUAGAUCUCUCUCAUGUUUUGUAGUUUUGUGUGUCAUGGAUUCCAGAUUUAUGGUAUGGUUUUCUCUUUACUCUCUUCUACCCUUGUAUGAUUGGUUCUUUGUGUGUUUCAAAUAUCCUUAUUUGGUUUGUUUGUUCUACGUGCAUCUUUCUCAUAUGCAUUGCAUUUAGGUGACGCUUUUGUUAACUGAGUACGUACGUCCUGACCAAAAGAAGUUUGCUGCUUCAGUGAACGUACGUACGUCCUAACUCAGUACGUACGUCCAGAACCCAAUAACUUUCCCUAGACAGACCUAAGAGACACAAGGACACGAGACGACCAUGCGUACAUCUUGGUUUUCCUAACAAUGAAUUCAAGGCGAGAUAACCAAAGACACUUUGUCACAAAAUUGAUGUCAAACCACUUCAUGCCGGUUUCAUUUUUGGGUUAUGUUUCAGGUAUGCUACACGUAUGGGGGAGUGAACGUGUUGAUGUUUAGAGGUUGUACAGUUUUGGGUCAUGUUUCAGGUAUACUACAUGUAUGGGGGAGUGAACAUAUAUGAUGGAGUGAAAGUGAUGAUGAUCACUAAGUGUAUGUACAGUUUUGGGUAACCUCGAGUAUUAAACCUUGGAGUUCAUGAAGUAUGGGGGAGUUGUUCGAGGAACUUCUGUUGGCUAUUUGAUUGUUUCAGAAUUUCUUGUUGCUUCCGUUCGGUCUCUGAUGAUUAAAGUGUCUUGCUCAAGCUGGAAGUCAAGAAUUGGUGACUUGGUAUGUGUUCUACUUUGAGUGUUUUUGUAGGCAUGUAUUAUAAAUGCCGUUGGUUUGGGUUUGUAAGCACGUUUUAUAAGUGCUAUUAGAGUCAUAGGUUUUUUUGUCACAAAAUCAAUGUCAAAGGGGGAGAUUGAAACCUGCACUAAGUUUGUUUGACAUCAAUUUUGUGACAUUGGAUGUCCAUGGUUAUCUCGCCUUGAAAUCAUUGUUAGGAAAGCCAAAGAUGUACGCACAUUCGUCUCGUGUCCGUGUCUCUAUGUCGUUUGUCUUAGUCUGUUUUGGGUACUGGACGUACGUACCUAGUUAGGACGUUCGUACGUCCAUUGAGGCAGCAAGCUUCCUUUUGGUCAGGACGUACGUACGCUGUUAGGACGUUCGUACGUCCAAGCAGACAGCAAACAUGUUUUCGUCAGGACGUACGUACCUCUUUAGGGCGUUCGUACGUCCAAGCAGGCAGCGAACGUUCACAAUGUGGAUUUCAUCAAUUCCGGCCCAUUUUGUGUGUGUUCCAACCCUAAGUAUAAAUAGGGUUUCUCUUCCAAAGAACAAGUUAGUUCUUUGGCCGUCCAAUUCAUCUUGUUUUUGGAGUUUGUUUAGGUUGUUUUGGUGAUUGAACUCAUCUUCUUCUUCCCCAUUCAUCUUCUUCUUCUUUCUUCCCUAUUCAUCUUCUUCUUCAUUAUUGAAUAGUGAUUUAGCUUCGAGUCUUCUUGUGUGUUCAUCAAGAAGUCGAGUAUCCUUGUGUGUUCAUCAAGGAACUCUGGUGUAAGCUUGCUUCAUAGAUCGGCUUCGAGUCUUCUUGUGUGUUCAUCAAGAAGUCGAGUGUCUUGUGCGUACAUCAAGGUGCUCCGGUGAAGUCAAGGUGUUAGAGAUAACCAGGAGUGUCAACUCGCAGUGAUUGCAGGUAGUUGAUAGGUUUGUAAAUCUCUUCUCAUCUAGUGGAUUUAUUUGUUGUCGUGAGGACAACCGUGGACGUUUCCCAAUUUGGGUUUUACCACGUUAAAAAUUUCUGCGUGUUAUUUACUUUCUGCAUAUUGUUUAAGUGGUUUGAAUAUUGAACUGUUAGAUUAGCACUAUUUGUGUUGUUUCAUUCGACAUAUUUUUGUUUGUAUUUUUAUAACGCAAGAAUCGUUUUAUUGUUGUAGUUUCCUGUGCUCCGUCGUCCGCGUCGAUCCAAAGUUUGCUUUCCUAGUUUUGUUGCUGCGCUUAAGGUAUGCCAAUUUUGACCUCUCCUUCACUUUAUAAUGGAUUUUGACAUGGUAUAGUGAUGAAUGUUAUACUAAAAUGCGUAGUGAUGGUCAAUAACGAUGCACGAUGAAAAUUGAUACCCU